UACGGAGGGUGCGAACGUUAUUCGGAAUCACUGGGCUUAAAGGGCGCGUAGGCGGGCCGAGAAGCCAGGGGUGAAAUCCUCCAGCCCAACUGGAGAAGCGCCUUUGGAACUGGCGGCCUCGAGGGGUGCAGGGGCAUGCGGAACUCAGGGUGGAGCGGUGAAAUGCGUAGAUAUCCUGAGGAACACCGGUGGCGAAAGCGGCGUGCUGGACACCUUCUGACGCUGAGGCGCGAAAGCCAGGGGAGCGAACGGG
RNAcentral lists this ribosomal RNA (253 nucleotides) under uncultured bacterium. Its description in RNAcentral is "partial 16S ribosomal RNA". It matches the Rfam family "Bacterial small subunit ribosomal RNA", at positions 524 to 776 of the family's 1533-position model. The record is from RNAcentral.